Humulus lupulus (European hop) is the source of this 1560-nucleotide long non-coding RNA. RefSeq lists it as uncharacterized. NCBI's taxonomy places the organism in Eukaryota, Viridiplantae, Streptophyta, Magnoliopsida, Rosales, Cannabaceae. The record is from RefSeq and is a predicted model, not a curated record. The transcript has 2 exons.
AGCUACAGCUGCAACUCAAGCUGGUGCGUCUGUUAUUCAGAUAUUUGUUGGUCGAAUCAGGGAUUGGGCACGUAAUCAUUCUGGCGACCCUGAGGUAGAAGCUGCACUCAAAAGAGGAGAAGACCCUGGGAUAGAUUUGGUUAGUUAUAACAGUUUUAAUAUCUCAAUUCCAUAGUUGCAUGGAAUUCUGUUUAAAUUCUUAGUAAGCUUGAUUAUGGCAUACUCUUAUCUUGAUAUAUUUUAAUAAUGGGUAUUUAUUUACAAAUGCAGUUUUUUUUUAAAAAAAAUCUAUGAUAGGCAAAUUAACAACUCUUCUAAAUACCUACUAUUCUAUGCCCUUUCGUCCUCUACUUUGUGUUAAGCACACUAAUACACAUUAAUACUUUCAGUUGUAAUUAAUUAUUUUCUAUUGUAAUUAGUUAAUGUAUAUUCCUCUCUUAUUAUUCUUUGUACAGCUUGCAUUGCAUGAGGAAGGAAACUUGUCCUGGUGGUCCUCUUUAUUUCGUUCCUUAGUUUGUAUUUAUAUCCCUUGUACAGGACAUUGAUAAUAAUAUAUAGAAAAUUCUCAAAACCCUUUUAAUUCUUCUUCCUAGUAUCUAAACCAUGCUAUAUACAACCUUUCACUUUGGUCUUGUUGUUUGACUACAUUUGACUUAGAUAUUAUUCAUUAUCGAUGCCAAGUGCUUCUUGGUAAUAAAAAACUUUUAAGAGACUGUUGCAUUAAAAUUCCAGUUCUCAGCUCAUAUAAUAAUUAGUUUCUCUUCGUUCAUCUCUUAGCUUAUUGUUUCUCUUUUGUGUUUUUUGAUGGUUUAACACAAUGCUAUCUUUUGGGCUAUUAGCUUUCUGAUCUGAACAGCACAAAAGAAUAAUUUCUAUCAAAUAUUACUUGAUGUAAAUACUAUGCUUUAAUUUAUCUUUGCCUUCUAUCACUUUGCUUAGUUUAUGAUUGGUCUAUUUUUCAAAAUAAAAUAAUUUACCAAGUAAACAAUAGACUUUAUAGCAUGUAAUUCUUGAGACUAGUAUGAAUAGAACUGAUUUUUUAUUAGAGAGCAAGCCUUAUUUUUUUAAUUUUUAAAUAUGAUUUUGUUUUUCAGCAUUUGGGUUAGCAUUUAUAACUUGAAUUUCAAAUUGGAAGGUCACUUUUGUUUUAAGGUGUGUUUUAAUACUAUGUAGUUGGGCAAGCCAAAGCCAAAUACCAAGAGUGAAUUCAUUAUUUUGUAUGUGGUGUCCUCUCUUGGAAAUAAUUUCCAUAGCAUUUUUCUUGAAGUAAUUUGUGAUGCUAGAUAAUAACAAUAAAAUAUUUCUUUGUUUAUUUUGCAGAUGUGACAAGCGAAAUAGAAAAAGGAUACUUAAUUUUGAAGGCUUUGUGUUGGGCAGCAGUAGAAUAUUUUGUGCUGAAAGUAGUAACUUUUCAAUAUGUUGAAUAUUUAAGACUACUUGAAUACUUAAAGAACAUUUUGUUGUUGAUGACAAUGUUGAAUGUUUUAAACUUAUUUGUGGAUUGUUAAUACAAUGUUGAAUGUUUUUACCUUUUGUUAUUUGAAAAUCAAGUUCAUUUGA